Molecule: ribosomal RNA, 460 nt
Filed under: uncultured bacterium
Lineage: Bacteria
Description: partial 16S ribosomal RNA
Rfam family: Bacterial small subunit ribosomal RNA
Source: RNAcentral
CCUACGGGGUGCAGCAGUGAGGAAUAUUGGUCAAUGGACGAGAGUCUGAACCAGCCAAGUAGCGUGAAGGAUGACUGCCCUAUGGGUUGUAAACUUCUUUUAUAUGGGAAUAAAAUGUUCCACGUGUGGGAUUUUGUAUGUACCAUAUGAAUAAGGAUCGGCUAACUCCGUGCCAGCAGCCGCGUUAAUACGGAGGAUCCGAGCGUUAUCCGGAUUUAUUGGGUUUAAAGGGAGCGUAGGUGGAUUGUUAAGUCAGUUGUGAAAGUUUGCGGCUCAACCGUAAAAUUGCAGUUGAAACUGGCAGUCUUGAGUACAGUAGAGGUGGGCGGAAUUCGUGGUGUAGCGGUGAAAUGCUUAGAUAUCACGAAGAACUCCGAUUGCGAAGGCAGUUCACUGGACUGCAACUGACACUGAGGCUCGAAAGUGUGGGUAUCAAACAGGAUUAGAUACCCCUGUAGUC